UACGGAGGGUGCAAGCGUUAUCCGGAUUCACUGGGUUUAAAGGGUGCGUAGGUGGGCUUGUAAGUCAGUGGUGAAAUCUCCGGGCUUAACCCGGAAACUGCCAUUGAUACUAUAGGUCUUGAAUUAUCUGGAGGUCAGCGGAAUAUGUCAUGUAGCGGUGAAAUGCCUAGAUAUGACAUAGAACACCAAUUGCGAAGGCAGCUGGCUACAGGUAUAUUGACACUGAGGCACGAAAGCGUGGGGAUCAAACAGG
RNAcentral lists this ribosomal RNA (253 nucleotides) under uncultured bacterium. RNAcentral describes it as "partial 16S ribosomal RNA". It matches the Rfam family "Bacterial small subunit ribosomal RNA", at positions 524 to 776 of the family's 1533-position model. The record is from RNAcentral.